GCUGCUUUUUCAUGAAACGGGAGUAAAGUAGUAAACUUAGGAACAAAUACCACUACCAACGUUUGGAUCGAUAUCUGCAUCGAUCUGCACACCCUUUGUCUCCUGGAUUGUAGCUGAGAUCAGCGUGAACCACGUGGGUCUCUGCUCCCUGAUCUGUUUCUUAAGACUUCCAGCUUCAUCACGGAGUUUCUCUCGGUUUGUGGGCUCAUCUAAAGGGAUAAAAUACGUCUAUAUACUUUUUGUGUCCCAGCUGAGUAACAGCAGGAGAAGAGUCUGGUGGAGCAACAGAGGAACAAUUUCAGCCAUUUGGACUCAGCUCAGCCACUACAGAGGAAACAAUGACUUCAACACAAAAGGACCAACAUGGAGCGAGAAGUCAGCGCUCUCAGGAGGCGGACAAACGUCACAGAAGAAAGGGAGAGAAAACCUACAGCUGUGAUGAGUGUUGGAAGGAUUUUACCCGGGCUGGAAGCCUAAAAAGACACCGACUCAUCCACAGUGGAGUUAAAGCUUACAGCUGUGACUUGUGUGGAAAGUCUUUUACCCUGGCUGAAAGCUUAAAAAAGCACCAAGUCAUCCACAGUGGAGAGAAAGCAUACAGCUGUGAUUUGUGUGGAAAUUCUUUUACCCAGGUUCAAAGCUUAAAAAAACAUCAAGUCAUCCACAGUGGAGUGAAAGCAUACAGCUGUGACUUGUGUGGAAAGUCUUUUACCCAGGCUGGAGGCUUAAAAGCACACGAACUCAUCCACAGUGGAAUUAAACCUUACACCUGUGAGUUGUGUGGGAAGUCUUUUACCCAGCCUGGAAGCUUAAAAACACACCAACUCAUCCACAGUGGAGUUAAACCUUACAGCUGUGAGUUCUGCGGAAAGUCUUUUACGAAGGCUGGAGGGUUAAAAAUACACCAAGUCACCCACAGUGGAUUUAAAGCACACUACUGUGACUUGUGUGGAAAGUCUUUUACCCAGGCUGGAGGCUUAAAAGCACACCAACUCAUCCACAGUGGAAUUAAACCUUACAGCUGUGACUUCUGUGGAAAGUCUUUUACCCAGGCUCAAAACUUAAAAACACAUCACGUCAUCCACAGUGGAGUUAAACCUUACAACUGUGAGUUGUGUGGAAAGUCUUUUAACCUGUCUCAAAACUUAAAAAAACAUAGACUCAUCCACAGUGGAAUUAAGGCGUACAGCUGCGACUUUUGUGAAAAAACUUUCAACAACAAACACUACCGAAAUAUUCACCUACGGAUUCACACUGGAAAUGAUGUUUCCUGCUGUGAUCAGUGUGGGAAACUGUUUGCAACAGGUGCACAAUUACAGCGACACAUGUUUAGCCACUCUGAGGAGAGACCUUAUAAAUGUGACCUGUGUGAGAAGACUUUUAAAUCUCCACAUCACCUGAAAAUCCACCAACAGAUCCACACCAGAAAGUAACUCUACAAGUGCAGUUACUGUGAGAAGUGGAGCAACGCAGAUGGAUCCAGUUCUCAGCCCUGUUGUCAAUGUGGUGGUGGGAAAGAGUUUCUCUGUGACCUUUGUGGAAAAACUUCCAAUAAAUUAUGGGACCUAAAAUGACAUCAACGUAGACACACUGAAGACAAAAUGAACAAAAUGAACUACCGCAAAGAAUGUGGGAGAGGCACACACUAAGUACAUACAUGAACUCUUCCACAGUGGGGUCAAAAAGCACAUCUGUGACCAGUUUGGGUCAUCCUUCACCACUGCACAUGGGUUUAAAGAAAAAGCAUAAGGGAAUCCACACAGGAGACACACCAUACAAGUGCAGACACUGUGACAAAAGCUUCUCACAAUCAGGUCAUCAUAACAAACAUGAACGUACAUACAUGGAAGUGAACUUCAGCUGUGACCAGUGUGACAAGAGCUUCAGGAAUGUCAGUUCAUACUCCGAACACAAACGAUCCCACACUGUAAAUAAACUGUUUCACUGUUACCAAUGUGCAAAACCAUUCACUUCAUUAUCUGCUCUGUGCAAACAUCAGCCUGAUCAUGCAGGACUGAAAUCACUGGAUCACAAUGAAUCUGAAGAGAGGGAAAGAGCCUCUUCUGGUUUCAGGGUCAGACUUAAAAACCUUGAGAUCAGGCUCCACAGAGUUCAGAUGGAAUCUCCUGUAAAGAGUGUCAGCUGAUGUCACACUUGGAUCUAAUGAGGUAGCUCUGAUUUCUGGAGCUGCAGUGAAUAAUCCUGAAUGUUACAUUUAGGAAACUGCAUGUAUAGAUAUGUAUAUCUAUAUAGAUAUAUAGAGAGAUAUAUCUCUAUA
Long non-coding RNA from Pelmatolapia mariae (spotted tilapia), 2278 nucleotides. RefSeq lists it as uncharacterized. The transcript is spliced from 4 exons. The record is from RefSeq and is a predicted model, not a curated record. Lineage: Eukaryota; Metazoa; Chordata; Actinopteri; Cichliformes; Cichlidae.